CAGACACAGCAUGAGGGUUCAACAGGUGUUGGUUGCUUGAAUGAAUGAACGAACGAAUGCAGGGACAGGGGCAGGACUCAUCUGCUCUGUCACCUGGUGCUCUUAACCCCGCAGGGCCCCGAUACAUUCCUUCUAGAGCCUGGUUCCAGGAAAAAUGUUGUCUCUGCCGAGGUCUGAACAUGCUUUCUGUUGUUGGAAAAUGAAAACUAUGCAACCCCAUGUGCUUCUCUUUCUGCCUUAGCUGCCAGAAGCCAGAGCCAAAUGUGUCGCCCAAGUAUGGGGGCUGCGCUCCCUGGUUUCUGAAGCACCACCUCGGCUUCCUUUGGGGAGCACUGUUCAGAUUCACCUGCCUUGCGCCAGAAUCUCUGGGCACCCCCAUGCCUAGCCCAGGGCAGGAGCCAAGUCUGAAAGAAACUCAAGUGCUUGACAAGCUCAUCCGGGAAAGCACAAAGCUGUCGGACCUGAGAAGGACGUCUUAUCAAAGUCCACACUCUCCGAUCUUAGAGGAGACGAAAUAGGAGGGCAAUGGCUUCCGUCAAGGCUGAAACCAAACAUUUUGGCUAUAUCUGAACGACCACUGAAUCACCGAGUCCACCGUAUUUUUCCACUUUCAAGUUGUUUCUGGGCUGCUGUGGAGACACGCCCUUCCUGGGUUUAAUGGCCCUCGUGUCAGGCUGUGGGGAGGAGGCGUGUUUACUUUUUGCAGGGAAAAUAGUGGUUAAUGGUGGACGGAUGGACCUGAUUAGUAAUUGGGUGAUUUAUCCCAUGAACGUUCUUUGGGUUUUCCCGGUGGUUUGCACUUGAAUGUCGGCUGAAUGAAGUAGGAGGAGGGACUAAGAGGAAGAUGGUUUCGAGGAGAAAGGGGUGGGGUUGGCUCAGGGUUGAGGGCUGUUUCAGGGACAGGUGGAGGUUUGCGCAGAUCAAGGGAGAAGGUUGUUCCAUCUGUUGUCCAAGACUCUUCCUCUAUGUUCAUUCACUCACUCGCUUAAUCGCUCACUCACUCAUUCACUUAUUGAAAGCUAUGAAAUUCUGAGCACCUUCUCUGUGCUGGGGAUACAGCACACCUCAUACCUCCUAAGUACCAUGCAGCCAGUGUGAUGAAUAAGCUCUCUUUCUGCCAUGGACUGAGCCUUGUGUCCCCGGCCAAAUUCCCGUGUUGAAAUCUAAUUCCCAAAGUGAUGGUAUUUGGAGGUGGGGUCUUUGGGAGGUAAGUAGGUCUUGAAGGUGGAUCCCUUGUGAAUGGGAUUAGUGCCCUUAAAAAAGAGACUGAAAAGAGCUCCCUGGCUCUCUUUCCACCAUGUGAGGACACAAGAAGAAGUCAGCCUUAACCCAGAAGAGGGCCCUCACCAGAACCUGAUCAUGCUGGCACCGUGAUUUCAGACUUCCAGCCUCCAGAACUGUGAGAAAUACAUUUCUAUUAUUUAUAAGCCACCCGGUUUCUGGUAUUUUGUUACAGCAGCCUGAGCUGGCGAAGAUGCCCUCCUUUAGAGGAGCGUGCAGACUUGAUAAGGGAAACAGAUGGGCCAACAGAUAAUUCCCAGCAGAGGUGUGUUCAAACAUGAGCCCUGGGGACUAGGUACUAAGCAGAUGGAGGAACAGAGAUGUAAGUAACUUACCCAAGAUCACACAGCCAGCAGAUCUGCACCGAGGCAGUGUGUCCAGCUUUUUAUCGUCAUGGUAUCCAGGUCUACUUUGGAAACGAGGCGGCUAUGCCUCAAAAGGGAAGGGUUCCCAGAGAGAGUGAUGUUGGACGUGGGCCUUGAGGAGGAAGUAGAGAAGUUUUAGAGGUAGAGGAGGCCACAGCAAGAUGCCCCAACAGCUGAAAGUGCCUGUCACGUGCCAAGAGUGGCAAGGGGUGGAGGUUUCCUGAGAGGGGAAGUGGAGGAGAGGCCGGCAGGGCCAGACUCUGAUCCUUUCUUGAAGGAGUGGCUUGGGUAGUCCGAUUUUAAAUGAAGAAAGAGCUCUCAGCGGGGUGCAGUGGCUCACGCCUGUAAUUUCAGCACUUUGGGAGGCCAAGGCUGGUGGAUCACCUGAGGUCAGGAGUUCAAGACUAGCCUGGCCAACAUGGCGAAACCCCGUCUCUACAAAAAUACAAGAAUUAGCCAGGCAUGAUUGUGGGUGCCCGUAAUGCCAGCUACUCGGGAGGCUAAGGAGGGAGAAUCGCUUGAUCCCAGGAGGCAGAGGUUGCAGAGAGCCGAGAUGGCACCACUGCACUCCAGCCUGGGUGACAGAGUGAGAUUCCAUCUCUAAAACAACAACAAAGAAAACGAAAACAAAACAAAAAAAAGAAGGAAAAAAAAAGGAAGAGCUCCCAGGCAGCUCAGUAGAGAAUGGCUUGAGAGGUGGGGGAAGAUUAGAGGCAGGGGAAAGUGGACACCUGCUGUUUCAGCCCCCUAGCACCUGCUCUUCCCCAGGAGACAACCUCCUUUGUUCUGAGGCCUGGUGUUUUCACUGAUGCUGACUGCUUGAGGGGUGGCACAUGACUCAGGUCUGGCCAAUCAGCCUCUUCCAUCCCCCUGGCUGCAGGGACUGGCUCAGGAGGGUGCAUGUGACCAGAGGCCGACCGAUGAGACUCAGUUCUGAGAUUUUUGUUAGACUUGUUGCAGAAAAGAGACUGUCUCCUGAGGUUGCUGAGCUGGGUAUCUCCACCAGGAGCUGCAGGGGCCAUGCUGUCACCAUGUGAAGACAGGUUGCUUGACAACAAAGUUGCAUUAGUUUCCUUGGGCAGCCAUAGCAAAGUAUCACAGACUGGGGAGCUUAAACAACAGAAAUUUAUUUCCCCACAAUUCUGGAGGCUAAGUCCAAGAUCAAAGUGUCAGCAGGGUUGAUUUCUUCUGAGGCUUCUCUUCGGCUUGUAGAUGGGUGGCUGUCUUCUUCUGGUGUCUUUACAUGGUCUUCCCUCUGUAUGUGUGUGUGUCUGUGUCCCAAUCUCCUCCUUUUCUUCUUCUCCUUUUUUUUUUUUUUUCUUUUGGGAUGGAGUCUCUCACUCUGUCCCCAGGCUGGAGUGCAGUGACCUGAUCUCGGCUCACUGCAACCUUCACCUCCUGGUUCAAGUGAUUCUCCUGCCUCAGCCCCCCGAGUAGCUGGGACUACAGGCACAAGCCACCAUGCCCAGCUAAUUUUUGUAUUUUUAGUAGGGACUGGCUUUCACCUUAUUGGCCAGGCUGGUCUGGAACUCCUGACCCUGUGAUCCGCCUGCCUUGGCCUCCCAAAGUGCUGGGAUUACAGACGUGAGCCACUGUGCCCCGGCCAUACACAACUCAUAAUGGAUUAAGGUCCACCUAAUGACCUCACUUAACCUUAAUUACCUCUUUAAAGACCCUGUCAGAAAAUAUAGUUACAUCUGAAGUACCCGGGGUUAGGAUUUCAACAUACUGGAGGUGGGAGGAGCACAAUUCAGCGCAUAACAGAAGCUAACACAGAAAAAAACACAGAGAUGGGGUAAGAGACUGAGGCUUGACUUUGUUUGAGCUCCUGGAUCCAGCUGUGCCUGAAGUUGAAACUAAUACUAUCCAGGACUCUUGAGUUUCAUGAUCCAAUAAGUACCUAAAUCCCACCUCUCCUUUUUUUUCCCCUCUUGAACCUAGUUGAGUUGGAUUUCUGUCACUUACAGUUAAAAUUCCUGAGUAAUACACAGGAGAACUAGUUAACAAAUUAUUAAAAUAGCCCACCCCUAAUUUAAUCACCAUGUGCAAGGACAGUGCUUGUAUGUACACCCAGGUAUGUCUAAUUCUAAUAGCUAGAGGUAGCAAAUAUGGUAAAAAUUGAGCCAAGUUUGCACUAGCCUCUUCCAUUAAGCAGGAAUUCCCACCUUAGCUCUGAAGCCAUGUAGGACAGGGCUGGAGAAACUACUAUUCCUACCAAUGUUUCUAAUGUGUGCAGUAGGCUGGGGUGCUGGCAGGGGAAAAUUAAAAAUGUAGUUUGGGUUAAAAAAAAAAGAAAAAGAGCUUUCUAGGCCAGGCGCAGUGGCUCACGCCUGUAAUCCCAGCAUGUUGGGAGGCUGGGGCGGGUGGAUAGCUUGAAUCCAGGAGUUUGAGACCAGCCUGCGCAACGUGGUGAAACCCCGUCUCUACAGAAAAUACAAAAAUUAGCCAGGAGAGUCGCUGUGUGUCUGCAAUCCCAGCUACUUGGGAGGCUGAGGUGGGAGGAUUGCUUGAACCCAGGAGGCGAUGGUUGCAGUGAGCCGAGAUGGCGCCACUGUACUCCAGCCUGGGUGACAGAGUGAGACCCUGUCUCAAAAUCAAUCAGUCAAUCAAUCAAUCAAACAAACAAACAAACAAAAAACAGCUUUCCAGAAGGGAAAAAUCAUUUUGGGAAGCUUUGAGUAGGGGCUGUGGAGAGUGGGCUCCAGACGUCACUUCAUUGGUUGGCAGGUGCUGUUAGGGGGUGCCCAGAGGGGAGCUCGGGGGAGCGGCGGCUUUCUUCCAGCAGAUAUGGACUCGGGCAGGAGCCACUGAGCAAGUACUCCGAUGGGCUGGGCUUCCUGAGGCUUCAUGCCUGGGCUGAGCAGGGCGGGGCUGUGGUCCACGUGGUGCCCAUUGGCCUCCCAAAAGGAAGGAGCGGGGAGAACUAGAAAUGUGGCUGGAAAAAGUCAGCAUCUCCCUCCUGGGCGGGCUCCCUGGUGGUCCCGGGAGCUGGCCAUGUCUGGAGGAGGAGGCUCCUCUAAGGUGUGCAGCUGCCUUUCUCAAUGCCGCUGAGUUGGAUUGGGAUCUCUUUCAAUGAGAGUGUUUUGAGGGACCCUCAGCUCCAUGCUCUGCUGGCUUCCUCCAGGGAUGCUGAGAGGUGGCCCUUCUAGUGGUAAGAUGAGGGGCCCAUGGCCUUGUGGAGUCAGACACACUGGCAUUCACUGAAAGCUCUGUGCCUGACCUACCUGGUGACUUGGGGCAAGUGACUUCACCUGACUGAGCCUCUUUCCUUCAUCACUGGCAAAAUGGAACCAACUUCACAGCCUUCUCCUGAGGCUUAAGUGAAACCAAGCAGUCAUAAAGGGAUAGGCUUUGGAGUCCCUGGGUUUGCAUCCCAGUUUACUAACUGAGCUGGGUGGCCUUGGGCAAGUCACUCACCCUCUCUGAGCCUCAGUGUCCUACUCUGUAAAAUGAACCCACCAAUGGUACUUAUUUCCUAGGGCAAAUGUGAGGAUUGACAGAUAAAACAUGUAAACUUCAUGAAAGCAAGGGGUUUUGUUAUUGAUUUAUCCCCUCUGCAGUUCCUGGGACAUAAAGACACUAAAUAAAUGGGAUCAGCUUUUAUUGUUAUUAUGAUUCACCGUCACCCAGCACUGGUUGAGGCUGCUCUCUGUGGCAUCCUGUAGACACACUUGUAUGUGAGUUUCUGGUCAGGAUGGGGAGGACAAGACCACUGUCUCUGGCACACUUAGCAAACUCUAUCUCCAGGGAUAGAGUAAGACUCCUAUGGUGCAGGAGGGGGCAUGAGGGAAGGCUAGGAGUGCCCUCUGCACUGUUUAAGCACCUCACUUGUGUCAUUUCACUGCACCCAUACCCACGCCCCAUGAACUAGAUUCAUUUAUUACCCCAUUUGACGAUGAGGAGGCUGAGGUUCAUCAAGGUAUAGCCAUUGAGAUCUUACUGCCAGGGAGAGGUAGAGCCAGGGUUCAAACCUGAAUUUGUACUGUUCCAAAUCCCUUUUUUAAAAAUUUUUAUUUUUAUUUUUUUUUUAUUUUCCCAGGCUGGAGUGCAGUGGGCAAUUAAGGCUGACUACAGCCCCCAACUCCUGGGCCCAGACAAUCCUCCCGCUUCAGCCUCCCAAGUAGCUGGGACCACAGACGUGUGCCACAGUGUAGGCCCCUUCUUUUUAAAUAGCGUGGUAUGCAGGAAACAGUGAAGGAGGGAUGGAGGGUCAGAGUCACCGGGUAGAGGGUGCGUUCCUGGGCCGACUGGGGUGGGGCCUCUAGGAAUGAGCCACAAGGGCAGGCCCCACCGCCUUCUCUCAUAUUUGGCAGGUGCUGUGUCCCCUGCUCCGUGCCCCUCAGGAUUCUUUAGGAAGUGGCUCCAUCGACCCACUCUCAGUUGAGCUGAAAGAGGACUCGAGGGACUCUUUAUUGGGAAAAAAUGGAGUGCAAAGCCUACUCCUGCCCCUGCCAGCACCAGCCUUCGGAGGCAAAUAAAAAGCAGUGGGCACUGGGACAGCAGCCCCAGAGGUGCACUAAAAUCCACCUGACAAAUGGCCCCUCUCCCAUGAGCCCACGAACAGCAGAGAGGAAGGUGGCCAGGGCCAAGUAGAAAGAUUUCUACAGCAUGGCCGAGUUCUCCAAGGUCAAGAGCAAGCAGAGCUGCCGCCUGUAUUCCUGAGAACUGGCCUCCUGGGGAUGUGGCCAGCCCUUUUUAAGGGAUUUGGGUCAAGGUGGGGAUUCUGACCCUCACCGCUGUGCUGGGACUGGCCUGGGAACUGGGAAGGAGGAUACACUUGGGAAAACUGCAGUGAAGAAUGCAUAAUAAUGGAAGGAAUCUCAUGGAUGAUUAUCAGGUAGCUCUCAGGAUCAAGAGGAAAGCUGGAGACGGCCUUUCGGCAGGAAGGGGGAAACUGAGGCAGAAGGCAGACCCUGCCCAGUGAUGGUCCCUUUCACAUGUCACUACUGGCACCAUCACUGUGGGACAUAUACUCCCACCAUGGGCACUACAGGCUCUGGGUCUUGCUGUGCUCCCUGGACUGUUGACUGCCUGGAAGCCUCUGGGAGUCACCUCUCGCUCUGUAGCUUCAGGUCUCUCCUCCCAGAGUCAAACUCCCCAUGGGCAGGGCUGCUGGAUAAAAUACAGGAUGCCCAGUGACAUUCUACUUUCAGAUAAUUGAAAAAAAUUUUUUAGUAGAAAAAAGUUAUUUAUCUGAAAUUCAAAUUUAACUGGAUAGCCUGUAUUUUUAUUUGCUAACUUAGCCGCCCCACUCAGAGCGCUGGGCCCUGCUCUGGUGCCUGGUGGGGAGGAACUCUGUCUCUUCCACUUCUGGGGUAAGAAUGUCAAUCUUGUUGGAUUGGAUUGAUUACAUUGUUUGGAUGGAAAAUAGAGGAAAAAGAGCACAUACAACUGCGACUCCUUAAACCUGUCCCCCUAUUUGUUUUUUUUGUUUUUUUUUUUGAGACAGGGUCUCACUCUGUCACCCAGGCUGGAGUGCAGUGUCAUGGUCAGGGUUUGCUGCAGCCUUGAAGUCCUGAGCUCAAGUGAUCCUCCUGCCUCAGCCUCCAGAGUACCUGGGAGUACAGGCGUGCGCCACCACACCCAGCUAAUUUUUGUAAUUUUUUUUUUUUUGUAGAGAUGGGGUUUCACCAUGUUGGCCAGGCUGGUCUCAAACUCCUGGGCUCAGGUGAUCUGCCCUCCUCGGCCUCCCGAAGUGCUGGGAUUACAGGUGUGAGCCACCAUGCCUGCCUGUCCCAUUUCCCCAUUUUAAAAAAGUCACCUGCCCGAUUGGUUUUCAAAGCUGCCUUCACUCAAAGAGGGCCUGGAGGGUAGGAAUGACUCAUACAGUCAUUCAUUGUCUGUGCCCGCUUUUCAUAGCACAAAAGAUAGGUCCUUCCCAUCCCGCCCAUCCUCUCCCUGCUGGUCAUCUUGUAUGCGGAGAAUCCAAGGAUCUUCUUACCAAUGAGUUCUUGCCGCUCAUGAGCAGGUGAAGGAGUGGAGCUGAAGUGGAAAUAAUCUAUGGGCUGGACUGUCUAGACAGCAUUUGCUCCUCUGGAUAGGGAGGAGAGCAGACAGAAGCGGGCUUUGGCCAAACUGAAACUCAAGCCAUCACUGCCAGCCCUUCCUGAGCCAUCUCAGAUGAGCCUUGUCUCUGGGCCACAGCCAGAAUUGGCCUGGGCUGUUUCUCACUCCUAUUUCAAAGGAUUUGUGCUCCUAGCAGAGGAAAAGCUUGAACAUUUACAGUGAAAAAUUUAGUAGAAGGGGGAAGAAACAGAGGGUCUUUCUUUCUUUCUUUCUUUCUUUUUUCUUUCUUCUUUUCCUUCUUUUGUCUUAUCUUUUGGUUUUGGGGCAGUGAAAGAAAAUUAAUUUUUUAGCUAUAAAACUUUGUCUUAAGAUCAGUUUUGGAAAGAAAAGCAUCUACUAAUUGAAAACGUCACUUUUCGGGCCCUUAAGUCAAGGGAAACAGGUGCAAGUUUGUGGUUUUAGACACAGCAUUUCUUUUGGAAAAAAGUAGUAAAAGUACCCCAGAUAAGUUCUCUCCAAAGCUGGAUAGAUUUUUAUUUUUCAGCCCUUUAUUACAUAGAAGGUGACAGAUUAGCUGAAAAGUUAAAAGAAAAAUCAACUCUCACCCUUGUAGGUAACACUCCAAUCUCUCUCUCUCUUUUUUCUUUCCAAGGCUGAAGAGAGGGCAACUGUUUACUGCAAUUUUGAUAAAAUUCCCUUUCAAUACGGCCUGUUCCUGGAUAGAGUCCCACCUUUCAUCUGCUUUUAUUCCUAAUCCUGUGGCAAAGCCUGGACCUCCCUUUUCUUCUCAUACAAGCUCGACAGAGCUGGCAUUUUCCUUCUCCAUUUCAGUGACAUGUUUUUCAGUGUUUUGUCUGUUUGUGAAGGGGCAGAAAUGUCAAGGUCAAAAAAGUCUUGGAAAAAAUGAGUAGUAUUUCUGUACCUGCUGAGGGUUAGGUGCUUGGAUGUUAUAUAUCUCUGCAUUCCCACAGUAAAACCAUGUGUGGUUGGGGAGCUUUUCCUUUUUUAACCUCUCUGGGUGGUUGAGGAAUUGGAGGCUCAGAGAGGAGAAGUGACACAGCCCAAGGUGACGCCACCAGGAGCUGAACUUGAAAGCCAAGCCAAGUCCGUCUGACCAUCAAGCGUUGCUCCUAUAAUCAUACUACCUUGCCUUCUGCCUUUGUAAACAUGAGGUGACACAUCAAGCUAGGGCUAUUAAAAUACCCAGAAGCACUUUUCUUCCAAAUAACUCACAAUAUCUUGUCUUUGGGAAGUAUUCAAUAGGUUUAUUUCAGUAAAAGAUACACCAUUGCCAUGGUUUUAGGGAGUGAUUCUGAAUUUUAUGUUACUGAUUAAGAAAGAUGGUUAAUGGAACCUGUUUCCUUAAGAAAUUUACAUCAUAUAUUAGUAAGCUGUUGCUGUGUAGCAAAUCACACCAACACUUAGUGCCUUGAAGUAACAACAUGUAUUAUCUCACAAUUUCUGUAGGUGUGAAAACUGGACAUCAUUUAGCUGGGUCCUGUGCUUCAGGGUAUCUCACAGGCAGCACACAAGGCUUCAUCUGGGCUAUACUCAUCAGAAGGCUGGAUUGGGGAAGAUCUGCUUCCAAGUUUACUUACAUGGUUGUUGGUGGGAUUCAGUUCCUGGUAGGCUGCCAGCUUUAGCUCCUCAUUUCCUGAUGGCUGGAGGGUUCCCUCAGUUCCUUUCCAUGUGGGCCUCUCCAGCAUGGCUGCUUGCUUCAUCAAAGUGUACAAGAAGGGAGACAGCAAUAGGAACAUGUCAGCAAGAUGGAAUCCACAGUCUUUUUAAAGCUAACCAUGGAAGUGAUAUUCCAUCACUUUUGGUGUAUUCUGUUUGUUAGGAACAAGACACUAGGUCCAGCCCACCACUCAAGGUAUGGGAUUACACACGGCAUGAAUACUAUGGGGUGGGGAUCACUGGAAAUUAUGUCAGCAGCUAUCUGUCACACAUGAGAGAAGUGGAGAUGGUAGUCAUAAUAAUAGUCAUCAUCAUCAUAAUAAUAAGGCUGGUGAGGAUAGCCAGCAUUUAUUGGGUGUUCUUGAUGCAUCAGGCACUGGGCUAAAUCCCUUCUAUGCAUUGUCUCCUUUAAUCUCCUCAUCACUCUCAUUAACUUCCCUGAGUUACUACAGCAAAGAGAUUAGGACCAGACUCUGUUGUUUCCACUCCGAAGUCCAUCCCUUUACAUGAUGCAGAUCAUUGAUAAGAAUCCACUGAGCUGCUGAGGCUCCAGGAAAGACCUGAUUGAGAGAGGAGUCUGAUAAACGAAGCUGAACUCACUGCUCCUCAGAAAACUGCAAAUGAACACAACCAGAAGCCAUUUCUUACCCAUCAGAUUGGAAAAGAAAAUUGGCCACCGAGCAGAACUCAGGGAGAGGGUGUGGAGCCCUCAGAGGCCAGGCAGGCUGAGAGGAUGGCAUGUGUGCACACCACAAACCAGCUUCCAAACAUAGCCACAGUUCAGGGGAAAAAACCCCAACCUGACUUCAUAAGCUCUCCUGAUGGAUAUAUAAAUCCUCUUGAGGAAACGCUGGGUUAUUAUUGAAUGUUCACUGUGUUUCCUGGAUGGAGUUUGGAAGAGAGUAGACAACUCAACUUUUGUUCGGCAGGAACUUGGAAGACAGGGGAUGGGGCUCUGUAACCCACCUACACAUACAUCUUUCAGCAUGGAGCGUCUGUUCAAUAUGCCCUCACCUAGAGCCCGGUCCUGCGUGAAUAUGCUCAUGCACUGAGACCUCGGGCAAACCUGGGGGCUGAGGAGCCUUAUCCAGAUUGCACAGGUGAGGCCAUGGGUCCCAUGCCGGUGAAGAGACUCACAUCAGCUCGUACAAUCUGAUGGUGCUGGAGUUAGGAUUUGGAUCUCAAACUGGUUCUCUCCAAAAGUCAUCUCUUAACCACUCAGUUUAAUUGCCUCAUCACAUAAAAUUACCUCACCUGGAAGAAAUGCCCUGUUCAGGUAUGUAUUCAGAUGGUGUGGGCCGGGGCCAGGAGGAGGGCAAGCAUGCAAGUGAACUUUCGUAUUGAGCUGACCUGUUCAUGAGCCUUCUCUGCCAUGAAGGGAACCACCCCCCUCCCCCACUCCUGGCCCGCCAUGAAACUGACGGAGAGGUAUGGGUAUGACAUUGCUGAGCGGGAUGGUGGCUGGGCCACCUGUGCGUGGAGCUGAAUUGUGCAUUCUGGACCUGCUGUUGCUCAAUCUGGAAUGUGCCACUCCCAUCAUCUUACGACAGGCUAUAGCUGGGCCUGUCCAACUUCGUGACUUGAUGGAUCAUGACGGGCAGUUCUGGUUGCGUGUUCACUUGAUAUUUCAUGGCCAAGUGCUUCGUAAUGAGCAGACAAAUAGUAAGCCAGGAGCUGUUUGUUGAAAGGUACAUAGCUCUCCACCACAGAUAGCACGGUCUUGUUCUGGAAGCCCAGGGAACUAUGCUGUGAUUCUUCUACUGGGGCCUUCAGUAAACUCCUCAUGGCGCCUUCUUUCUCUUAUGGAAAACUCUAAUAUCGGAGGCCCGGCGGAGUCAUAUGGCCCAAGUGGCAGGGCUGCUUGCUCACAGCCCGGACCUGCCGCCCAGCCCUUUCCUGCUCUGGGUCCCAUUCGCACCUGGAGACUUCUGUGUCGCUCAGUAAACUGUUUCGGAGAAGUUUCCCCAACUGUGGAAUCUGCUGCCUCCAGACCCCAAAAAGGCACACCAGGCUUUGUGCUUCCUUUUGAGUGGUGGGAGGUGGGAGAUGCUUUAAUUUGUCUUUUAUUUUGGAGGGGAUGGCCCCUUACAUAGUAAGGCCCACUCUUCCGUGCUUAGGACUAAAAAUGUCACCAAUAUAGGGGGU
This 11474-nucleotide long non-coding RNA is filed under the name Homo sapiens (human). RNAcentral's name for it is "HSALNT0097762". The record is from RNAcentral. Lineage: Eukaryota; Metazoa; Chordata; Mammalia; Primates; Hominidae.